CGAUGCCACAUUAAACUAUCAGCUAAACCAAAUUACGAGCGACAUCUAUCAGUCGGUAGCAGUUAUAUAUACGAUUUCGUACUAAAAAACUUCUCAGACAAUUUUGUUCUCGUUUGGCUCGGAAUUUUUUGGAAAAUAUGAUUUGAGCAGUCGUCAAUGAUGAACACCAGGAAAGAGAAAAUACGCCGACCUUUACAGUUUUUCUUAUAGAUAGCUGAAAAUGUGAAUAGUGACCAUAAAGUCCUGGUACUGCCACUCAAGCGCAUCUUGGUUUUGUCGAUCCCGUUCCGGUAAUAUUAUUGUCUAAGAUACACCCCGUUUUGAAAGUCCAAUUAUCGAAAAUAUUGAUAAAAUCAUCGAGCACUACUUGAAACCAUCUUGGAUCGAAUUUUCAUCUGGAAUCGCUGCUGCAUCGUAACAAAAUCGAUCCAUUUCCGAAGUAGAUGGUCAAAAAUGAUAAAAAGAGAGUCACUUAUAGCAACGUCAAGCGGAAAAGAUCGGGGUCAAUUCGCGGUGAGCACGCGCAGUUCUAACUUGGACUAUCAAAACUUGGACCGCCUGAGGGAAUCAAUCCCCUAGAAGCGAUCAGCUUUAGCCAAUAGGGGAGAAAUUGUCUACCAUCAACGCAACGGCAAUCCACACACAUCGAUAGUGACACUCAAGAAGCUCAGAGGUUGGUUGGCGAGUCUACAAACUUUAAAAUAUAAUAUAAAAACAAAAGCCCACCACCACUAUAUUUAUCGCCAUAGUAAAUAAAAUACACACAUAUUCUACUAUAAUCGAUUUAUUGAUUUUGAAUUUCUUGGUGAUUUAUUUUGUGGUGUUAGAGCAGGUUAACAAGGUUUUAUUGCUUAGACUAUUUUUUUUUUGUGUUUUUUGAAAGAAUGUAUGAUGUAUAAUUUCUUCACUUAAAUUAAUAUUAUUUUCAAAUUUUAUUUGAAUCUCAUGAUUUUUUAUGUUUAAAUGUAAUCAUCAAUAUAUUAAAUAAUGACAUUGUAUAAAUGCCUCUAACCGAUUUUAUUACAAUACUUUGUGUGGCUGAUUUUACUCAAUUCAUAUACAAUCUUGCGUGCAUGUUUAUAAGUAUGUAUGUAUGCACCUACAUAUGCACAUAUGUAUAUAUCUAGUUCAAGUUAAUUAUUUUUACGCAAAACAUUAUAUAAUCAAUAUUGUGCAUGUUUAAAAUUUUAUCUUAGAAAAAAAUUUUUUUAACACCCGUUUUAUGUUUCGUAUUGUGCUGAUUGUUUUUAAUAUUGAAGUUUAAUGCUGUCCUUACAGUUGCUGCUUGAUUAAAUGCUAUUUAUUUUACUUUCACUAUUUUUUUUUUGUUAAAAAUGCUGCGGGUGCACGAUUUUCGAAAAUUUAUUACAUUGGGUUAUGAUUAAAUAAAAAAGGUUUACAUUUUAAGAUGUUUGCAUCACUAUGUAAAUAACCAGGAUUUAUGUAGGUAUGUAAUUAUAUAUGUACAUAUAUACGUAAACAUACCUUACAUAUUGUGCUUUUGUAAACUAUUUAAAAUACAAAUAAUUUAUUUGUUUUAAUUAAAAAUAAAUAAUUAAUACUUUGCGAAACGGUAAAAUAUAUUUAUGCAUGCACAUGUGCUAUUUCAAGCAUCUCCAACGCACUUACAUUUUAUUUACUUUGGAGCUUAAAUAUAUAAAUAUAAAUUUAAAAAAGUUUUUUUUAAUUACAUCCGUUAGAAAUCGUUUUUGAGGAAGAAACAUGCAAGUUUUUCAAAAAUAUAUGUAUGUAAUUUAUAUAAUAGAAGAAUAUAUGAUAGUUUUCAAUGAGAGAGAGUUUUGCAUCGUUAAAGAUGUAAUUUGUACAUAAAAAAUAUGUGGAUGAUUAAGAAUUUUUUAAUAUCAAAUAUUAAUAAUUACUGAUUUUUUAACUCUUGAAUUACUACUAUCUGCAUCUUCUGUUUUUCAAAAAAAAGAUAUAUGUUUUUUUUUUGCUGAGGUUUGAAUUUUACGAUACCUUUUUCUUCUACUACUAAAUUACGAUACAAUGCUUCAAUAUUGUAUAUGCUAUUACUAAAAACUACAAGUCUGACUGCAAAUCGUUGUUCUAGCGCUAGUACAUGUGCGACUACACACUCACUACGAUUCUCUCAACUUUAUUAUAUAUGUACUUAUUACUUAUAAACUAAUGUGCGACAUUAAAUUUUUAAUUAAUAUAAUUUUGACUUCGAAAUUCAAAAACACAAACGUGCAUCAACUAUUCUUUGUCAUGAAUUUUAAGAAGCCCGAAGUAUAUUUUUUAGUUGGUAAACGUAUCACUGAUGAUUCCUUUUGCGACAUAAUUGUGCUACGAGAAAGGAGUGACCUGAUUCCAAUACUUAUAAUAUAGUAGCUAUAUCUUGAAAAUGUAGAACAACUCGGGAUGAGAUGACUACAAUGAAAUUAGACAUUUAAACUAAUUUAAAACAGAGCAACAUACCGAAUACGUCGUCAACUUCAAUGUAUCGAAUUUUGAAGUAAAAUUAAACAGAAUAGAGAUUGAAUUCGUCACAUUUUCAAUUAAGUACAGAAACAAGUGCAGGAAAAUGUGUUGGAUUUAAUCUCAUCUAAGAUAUAUAAGUUGUCUAUAAAACAGUAAACUUCUGAAUUUUAUAAUCAUAUAUAUUAUUUUAAUUUUUCUGCUUCAUAUUAGGCAAAUGUCAUUUAAUAACUUUCUUUCGAUGAUUCCACAAACACAUAUCUAACUAUAUGUAUAUAUUCUUUUAAGGCAAUAAAAAAAAAACUCAAAAAUAA
This is a non-coding RNA of Bactrocera oleae (olive fruit fly), 2753 nucleotides long. NCBI's taxonomy places the organism in Eukaryota, Metazoa, Arthropoda, Insecta, Diptera, Tephritidae. The record is from RefSeq and is a predicted model, not a curated record.